This is a long non-coding RNA of Nycticebus coucang (slow loris), 453 nucleotides long. RefSeq lists it as uncharacterized. The record is from RefSeq and is a predicted model, not a curated record. The transcript is spliced from 3 exons. NCBI's taxonomy places the organism in Eukaryota, Metazoa, Chordata, Mammalia, Primates, Lorisidae.
CCAACCCCAGAAGCCUGGCCUCCCUCUUCUCCCAGCACAUGAUCCCACAAAGCCCUUGCUCCCUUCAAUCUCAGGCUUAGAAUUUGCUGCAAGGCCUGGAAGUCCUAAGGGAAGUGAGUACUGGUGCUUCAGCCAGAGCAAACGAGAAAGAAAAGACCACAAAGGGAGCCUGGAAUAGUUGGCCAAGUAGCAAUUUGAGAACACGGGUCGUGGGUUCGCCACUUGCUAAGAGGAAUUUUUACUCUCUGCAACUAAAGCUAUCUGUCUCCUGGCUUUGAUGGCAAGAAGAUCCUCAGGAGUGUUUGGAACAAAAACAGUGGGAGCAAAGCAUGAACGGUGGCCCUGAGCAGAAUGGCCCGUUCCAGGAGGACUUAUUUGCAUUCAGCUUGAAGGCCCGGGAGGUUGGCAUUUCCAACACAAAACAAUUCUGCCCCCUCCCAGUCUCCCCUCAUC